Molecule: ribosomal RNA, 1215 nt
Filed under: Piskurozyma sorana
Lineage: Eukaryota; Fungi; Basidiomycota; Tremellomycetes; Filobasidiales; Piskurozymaceae
Description: eukaryotic LSU rRNA
Rfam family: Eukaryotic large subunit ribosomal RNA (bases 602-1215)
Source: RNAcentral
UUGACCUGCGGAGGUCAUUAGUGAAAGAAAUUGUUUCCACUCAAUAAGGAAGAGUUUGUCAACCUAGUUGGGAAGCUCUUUUGGAUGGAGUGAUCACAAACUACUUCCCACAUCCAUAACACCUGUGAACUGGAAGAUGUGGUGAUUUCGAUCCCCAUCUGCCCCCUAAUUAAACAUUUANUAGUAACGAAAGUACUAUUAUUAUAAUCUAAUAAAACUUUCAACAACGGAUCUCUUGGCUCUCGCAUCGAUGAAAAACGCAGCGAAAUGCGAUAAGUAAUGUGAAUUGCAGAAUUCAAUGAAUCAUCYAAUCUUUGAACGCACCUUGCGCUCUAUGGUAUUCCGUAGAGCAUGCCUGUUUGAGUGUCAUGAAAACAAUCAACCUUGACUUUGGGUAACCCUAAAGACAAGGAUUGGACUUGGGUGUUUGCCAGUGCUUUAUGUGGCUCAUCUUAAAUAUAUUANCUGGACUCAUUGAAAGACAGGUUUGACUUGGCGUAAUAMCUAUUUCCCUWAMGACACUCUUUGGAGUGGCCAGUCUUCAAAUANCANUCANCUUUCUAACCCAUGAUUCUCCUUGGAGACAUGAAUUUUCAUUAUUUGGCCUCAAAUCAGGUAGGACUACCCGCUGAACUUAAGCAUAUCAAUAAGCGGAGGAAAAGAAACUAACAAGGAUUCCCCUAGUAACGGCGAGUGAAGCGGGAAGAGCUCAAAUUUGAAAUCUGGUGGCCUCAGGUCAUCCGAGUUGUAAUCUAUAGAAACAUUUUCCGUGCUGGCUCAUGUACAAGUCCCUUGGAACAGGGCGUCAUAGAGGGUGAGAAUCCCGUCCUUGACAUGAAUCACCAGUGCUYUGUGAUAUGUUUUCAACGAGUCGAGUUGUUUGGGAAUGCAGCUCAAAAUGGGUGGUAAAUUCCAUCUAAAGCUAAAUAUUGGCGAGAGUCCGAUAGCGAACAAGUACCGGGAGGGAAAGAUGAAAAGCACUUUGGAAAGAGAGUUAAACAGUAUGUGAAAAUGUUGAAAGGGAAACGAUUGAAGUCAGUCAUGUCCUUGGAAUUCAGCUGGUUAUGCCAGUGUAUUUUCCUUGGAUGGGGUCAACAUCAGCUUUGACUGGUGGAUAAAGGUCAGAGGAAUGUACCACUCUCGGGUGAACUUAUAGCCUUUGAUUGCAUACAGUGGUUGGGACUGAGGAACGCAGCUUGCCUUUAUGGCCAGGAU